UUAAAAUUAUUUUUUUGGAAACUUCCCCAAAAUCAAAAUCCAAAAGCUUCUGAUACACGAAGAUAGCCCUUCUCUCCAGCUCGUUUUCUCAUUUUCAUCUCUGAAAAAAUAAUAAGGAACACAUUUUGCCUACAUAUAUCCGAACAUAGAUAUGUACAUCUGUUCUCCAUUCAGCUGUAUCGAUUAAUCGAUAAACUGGAAAUUUGCAAAAGAUCCAAAUCCAUAAAACUCUCUCUUCAUCUAGGUAUACAGAUAUACAACCCUAGCUUCUAAAUCAAAUUACAACAAAACAGAAAACGAAAACCCUAGAAUGUAAUCGCUGUAUAUAAUUGCAGUUUUGUUGAUUAAAUAGCUGCUGACUGUACUAAUAUUGUACAAUUUUGGGUUAAUUUGGGAAAUUGUUGUAUAAGAUGGUUUGAAUCUAGUUUAUGAUUUGAUAGUGGUUGCAAAAUAUUGGUUGUGUUUGCGCUUUGGGAGCAGAGGCGGAUACAGGAUUUGAAGUUUAUGAGUUCGGGAUGCCAACUGAACUGGAACUGAUCAUUUGAGUUACUGCGUUCAAAAUUUAAUAUCUCUACAUAUUUAGUAGAUUUCUUUAACACAUAAUCAGGACAGAGUUUGAGCCAGAGCUAUUGGGUUCAGCUGAACCCUUAGCUUUAAUUGUUCAUCAGAAUGAGCUCGGGGAUUGAUGAUGGAAGCUCCACUAAUUGCGCAUCAGAAGCUCGAAAGCAUUCAAGAAUAUCAUAUUCGAGAGAGUUUCUGUUGUCGAUAAGUCAACUGGGGAUUUGCGAGAAGUUGCCAAGUGAAUUUGAUCAGUCGAUCCUGAGUGAAUUUGUGGACACUUCACAUAGCAUACAAGACCGCCAAAGAGUACCUGGCAGCUUGCCUUUGCAAGGGUUUAGACG
This is a non-coding RNA of Nicotiana tabacum (common tobacco), 902 nucleotides long. Lineage: Eukaryota; Viridiplantae; Streptophyta; Magnoliopsida; Solanales; Solanaceae. The record is from RefSeq and is a predicted model, not a curated record.